This 711-nucleotide ribosomal RNA is filed under the name uncultured bacterium. RNAcentral describes it as "bacterial SSU rRNA". It matches the Rfam family "Bacterial small subunit ribosomal RNA", at positions 105 to 801 of the family's 1533-position model. The record is from RNAcentral.
GGUGAGUAACACGNGGGUAACCUGCCUGUAAGACUGGGAUAACUCCGGGAAACCGGGGCNAAUACCGGAUGGUUGNUUGAACCGCAUGGUUCAAACAUAAAAGGUGGCUUCGGCUACCACNUACAGAUGGACCCGCGGCGCAUUAGCUANUUGGUGAGGUAAUGGCUCACCAAGGCAACGAUGCGUAGCCGACCUGAGAGGGUGAUCGGCCACACUGGGACUGAGACACGGCCCAGACUCCUACGGGAGGCAGCAGUAGGGAAUCUUCCGCAAUGGACGAAAGNCUGACGGAGCAACGCCGCGUGAGUGAUGAAGGUUUUCGGAUCGUAAAGCUCUGUUGUUAGGGAAGAACAAGUACCGUUCGAAUAGGGCGGCACCUUGACGGUACCUAACCAGAAAGCCACGGCUAACUACGUGCCAGCAGCCGCGGUAAUACGUAGGUGGCAAGCGUUGUCCGGAAUUAUUGGGCGUAAAGGGCUCGCAGGCGGUUUCUUAAGUCUGAUGUGAAAGCCCCCGGCUCAACCGGGGAGGGUCAUUGGAAACUGGGGAACUUGAGUGCAGAAGAGGAGAGUGGAAUUCCACGUGUAGCGGUGAAAUGCGUAGAGAUGUGGAGGAACACCAGUGGCGAAGGCGACUCUCUGGUCUGUAACUGACGCUGAGGAGCGAAAGCGUGGGGAGCGAACAGGAUUAGAUACCCUGGUAGUCCACGCC